AACAAGGCGUACCUGCGGACCUGCGGAGGGAUCAUUAAAAAGAGUGUGUACCCCUCUGUAAAAUGAGUGGGUUACCUCCCGUCCUUUGUUGACCUCUUAGGAGGUUAUUUUGAACUUUCUGCUUCGGUGGGGUUAAACCUACCGGAACACCCUCAAAUUCUUAUCAUUUAAAAAUUGUUCAGUCUGAUUUUUGUUAAUAAAAACAAAAAACUUUCAGCAACGGAUCUCAGAUCGGAAGAG
Molecule: unclassified non-coding RNA, 240 nt
Filed under: soil metagenome
Description: partial contains 5.8S ribosomal RNA, internal transcribed spacer 2, and large subunit ribosomal RNA
Source: RNAcentral